UACGAAGGGGGCUAGCGUUGCUCGGAAUCACUGGGCGUAAAGGGCGCGUAGGCGGCCGAUUAAGUCGGGGGUGAAAGCCUGUGGCUCAACCACAGAAUUGCCUCGAUACUGGUUGGCUUGAGACCGGAAGAGGACAGCGGAACUGCGAGUGUAGAGGUGGAAUUCGUAGAUAUUCGCAAGAACACCAGUGGCGAAGGCGGCUGUCUGGUCCGGUUCUGACGCUGAGGCGCGAAAGCGUGGGGAGCAAACAGG
RNAcentral lists this ribosomal RNA (252 nucleotides) under uncultured bacterium. RNAcentral describes it as "partial 16S ribosomal RNA". It matches the Rfam family "Bacterial small subunit ribosomal RNA", at positions 524 to 776 of the family's 1533-position model. The record is from RNAcentral.